Molecule: ribosomal RNA, 292 nt
Filed under: uncultured bacterium
Lineage: Bacteria
Description: partial 16S ribosomal RNA
Rfam family: Bacterial small subunit ribosomal RNA
Source: RNAcentral
GUGUCAGCAGCCGCGGUAAUACGAGGGGGGCGAGCGUUAUUCGGAAUCACUGGGCGUAAAGCGUGCGUAGGCUGUUUUGUAAGUUGGGAGUGAAAGCCCAGGGCUUAACCCUGGAAUUACUCUCAAAACUACAAGACUCGGAUUCGGGAGAGGAUAGCGGAAUUGUCAGUGUAGCAGUGAAAUGCGUAGAUAUUGACAGGAACACCAGUGGCGCAAGCGGCCAUCUGGACCGACAUCGACGCUGAGGCACGAAAGCGUGGGGAUCAAACAGGAUUAGAAACCCUGGUAGUCC